RNAcentral lists this unclassified non-coding RNA (253 nucleotides) under uncultured Myxococcales bacterium. Its description in RNAcentral is "contains 16S-23S intergenic spacer region". It matches the Rfam family "Bacterial small subunit ribosomal RNA", at positions 524 to 776 of the family's 1533-position model. Lineage: Bacteria; Pseudomonadati; Myxococcota; Myxococcia; Myxococcales. The record is from RNAcentral.
GACAGAGGGUGCAAGCGUUGUUCGGAAUCAUUGGGCGUAAAGCGCGCGUAGGCGGCUGAUCAAGUCGGAUGUGAAAGCCCAGGGCUCAACCUUGGACGUGCAUCCGAAACUGGUCAGCUUGAGUUUCGGAGAGGAUGGCGGAAUUCCCAGUGUAGAGGUGAAAUUCGUAGAUAUUGGGAGGAACACCAGCGGCGAAGGCGGCCAUCUGGACGAAAACUGACGCUGAGGCGCGAAAGCGUGGGGAGCAAACAGG